GUUUACCUCCAGAUUCAUUACUUUAAAUUUGGUCAAAGGCUUUUGUCUGAGCUUUUAUCUGUUCUUGCUGAGCAGAUUUUGGGAAAUAAAUAAUGCCUAUUUCUCUUCUGGGGCCGACUUCUGUGUUUCACAGUCAGGAUGAUGUAGGAAGCUACUGUUGCACUGAGCAGAAAUACAUGGGUUCUGAGAGCAACUUUAUUCCUAAGUGAUCCUAUUACAUCCCUUUUCAUGCAGUCUAGAAGUUAUAAUUUUCUGUUAGUCUAGCCAGUUGAAAAGAUUAAAUGCAUUAAUUGAUCUUAGUUGCUUUGAUUGUAUUCAUUACUAAUACUUUCCACAGACAUACUCUGUAAUGCUUCAUUGGGAAGUAUUUUCUCCAAACAAACUACAGCCAGAACCCUGGGAGCAAGAAUUGCACCUUGCACAUAUUUAUUUAUGAAGCCUCAAACACAGUGCUGCAGCAUGGAGGGAGAGCUGAGGAACACCUGCUGGCAAUGUGUGAUAUUCUUCCAGUAUUGAGAAACCCCUUAGCAUUCACACAAUCCCAACUUUUGGCAAGUUCCUUGUGGUGCUGGGCUUUCCACGCUGCCGAGGUGUGGCCUUGCCCGGAUCAGCAGGAUGGGCACCAUUGUUUCUCCUCAGGCAGGAGGGAUCUGGGCAGCGGAGCCGCGUGCUGGGGGCGGGAAACAAGUGGCCACCGUCAGAGUUAGCUCUCAGGCGCAUGUUACAAUUACUGACUGCAUGUUGAAGAAUUCCUCCAGCAAACAGGUUGGGUGCGUGUGAGGGAGAUCUGGUUUGAAAAGUAGGAUUUUACAUCUUCCAUAUGCAGUUCCACAACAGCUUAUGUGGUUCCCUGUGAAAUAUUAGCAUGUACUUGGCUUUUGAUGAGCAAGUUUAACAGAAAUUGUCACAAAUUCGUAAUGUUUAUAUUAGUUCCACUAGGAUACACUAGAAGCGUGCUGACAGAAGGUUCUGCAAGGCUGCCUGGCACAUUUUUGAAAACAGUUUUAAGGCUUACAGCCUUAUUUUGAGCACUGACCAAGGCACAGCUUGCUUGAAAUAUGUACUAUGGAAAGUAGUUUAAGAAAACGUUAAGGGCUUCUGUGGGUUUAGAUGGAUUUUAAUCUUUGAAUCAG
Molecule: long non-coding RNA, 1133 nt
Filed under: Numida meleagris (helmeted guineafowl)
Lineage: Eukaryota; Metazoa; Chordata; Aves; Galliformes; Numididae
Description: lncRNA (ENSNMEG00000002132.1)
Source: RNAcentral